UCAUAUGAACUUCUUUAUACUAUUUGAUAUCCAUGAUCAUGAAUCCAAUUGGAAAAGACAAGUUACCCACUUGCAUACUCACGUUCUCUGAAUCAUUUGUACUUUAUCAAGUCCUUCAAGUCCAUGCUUCCAGUUGAGAUUGAAAAUGCGGCUCAAUGUAUAUGUCUUUAUAAUUAAAUAAGCAUAAGAAUCUCUAUUUCCCCUCUAUCGAGUUCUCAUCAAAAUCAUCUUCUGAUUCAUUAUCAUGUUUAUCUGAUUCAAC
Molecule: long non-coding RNA, 262 nt
Filed under: Lathyrus oleraceus (garden pea)
Lineage: Eukaryota; Viridiplantae; Streptophyta; Magnoliopsida; Fabales; Fabaceae
Description: Pisum sativum (pea) long non-coding RNA (PSAT_LNC018632)
Source: RNAcentral